This 253-nucleotide ribosomal RNA is filed under the name uncultured bacterium. Its description in RNAcentral is "partial 16S ribosomal RNA". It matches the Rfam family "Bacterial small subunit ribosomal RNA", at positions 524 to 776 of the family's 1533-position model. The record is from RNAcentral.
UACGGGGGGGGCAAGCGUUGUUCGGAAUUACUGGGUUUAAAGGGCGCGUAGGCGGCCUUCUAAGUCGAGCGUGAAAUCCCUGGGCUCAACCCAGGAACUGCGUCCGAUACUGGAAGGCUUGAAUCCGGGAGAGGGAUGCGGAAUUCCAGGUGUAGCGGUGAAAUGCGUAGAUAUCUGGAGGACCACCGGUGGCGAAGGCGGCAUCCUGGACCGGUAUUGACGCUGAGGCGCGAAAGCCAGGGGAGCAAACGGG